CUUUACUGUAGCUUGGAAUUGGGUUCGGGCUUUGCUUGCGCAGGAUAGGUGGGAGACUUUGAAGUCAUCCUUGUGGGGGUGAUGGAGUCAACGGUGAGAUACCACUCUGGUGAGGCUAGAAUUCUAACUCAUUCCCGUUAUCCGGGAAGAGGACAAUUUCAGGUGGGCAGUUUGACUGGGGCGGUCGCCUCCUAAAAGGCAACGGAGGCGCGCAAAGGUUCCUUCAGGCUGGUUGGAAAUCAGCCGUAGAGUGUAAAAGCAGAAGGGAGCUUGACUGUGAGACUGACAAGUCAAACAGGGACGAAAGUCGGCUUUAGUGAUCCGACGGCACUGAGUGGAAGGGCCGUCGCUCAACGGAUAAAAGUUA
This 367-nucleotide ribosomal RNA is filed under the name uncultured organism. RNAcentral's name for it is "bacterial LSU rRNA". It matches the Rfam family "Bacterial large subunit ribosomal RNA", at positions 2099 to 2465 of the family's 2925-position model. The record is from RNAcentral.